Non-coding RNA from Xyrichtys novacula (pearly razorfish), 512 nucleotides. The record is from the annotation of a GenBank genome assembly. Lineage: Eukaryota; Metazoa; Chordata; Actinopteri; Labriformes; Labridae.
GAGCUCCAGCAGGGGAGGCUUCACUGCAUCAGCGACAGCCCAAGAGCACUGACGUUGAUAUACUGAAGAGCAACAUUGAGCAGUGUGAGAUGGAGCACCACCAGAGAGAGGCCAAAUGCAAACCGGAAAUAGAGCAGAGCACCAAAGACACAGACAGCCUCACCAGGAGCAACUAGGAGAAGCCGGAUAAUGGUAACUAUCAGCCCUAAUUUGCUUGCAUUGUAAAAAACAGGAGUCCAAUUUUUACAUUUGCACAUUUUUUAUUGUCCUCAAUUAUGAUUUCAGAGCCAGGCUCCAGCAGCACGGUGGCGACGUCUGUGCGCAAUGAGGACGGUCCCACUGAUCCAGACCCCGAACGGAGACAGCUGAGCACUGAGGGCGAGCGAGUACCAGCUUCCCGUACUGCAAGGGCCAUUAUCACUGCGGAGGUCCUAGAAAGACAAACGGAGAUUUGCCGUUUAUUGGCGGCAGUUGUGACCUCACUUGAGGCAAUCAACGAAACUUGACAGAGA